This 50-nucleotide transfer RNA is filed under the name Helicosporidium sp. ex Simulium jonesi. Its description in RNAcentral is "partial tRNA-Pro". It matches the Rfam family "tRNA", at positions 23 to 71 of the family's 71-position model. From Rfam's summary of the family: Transfer RNA (tRNA) molecules are approximately 80 nucleotides in length. Their secondary structure includes four short double-helical elements and three loops (D, anti-codon, and T loops). Lineage: Eukaryota; Viridiplantae; Chlorophyta; Trebouxiophyceae; Chlorellales; Chlorellaceae. The record is from RNAcentral.
GUUCCUGUUUUGGGAACAGGAGGUCACAGGUUCGAAUCCUGUUACCCUGA